UACGUAGGGUGCGAGCGUUUAAUCGGAAUUACUGGGCGUAAAGCGUGCGCAGGCGGUUCGUUGUGUCGGCGGUGAAAGCCCCGGGCUUAACCUGGGAAUGGCCGUUGAAACUGGCGAACUGGAGUGUGGCAGAGGGGGGUGGAAUUCCGCGUGUAGCAGUGAAAUGCGUAGAGAUGUGGAGGAACACCGAUGGCGAAGGCAGCCCCCUGGGUCAAGAUUGACGCUCAUGCACGAAAGCGUGGGGAGCAAACAGG
RNAcentral lists this ribosomal RNA (254 nucleotides) under uncultured bacterium. RNAcentral describes it as "partial 16S ribosomal RNA". It matches the Rfam family "Bacterial small subunit ribosomal RNA", at positions 524 to 776 of the family's 1533-position model. The record is from RNAcentral.